Molecule: small RNA, 27 nt
Filed under: Bombyx mori (domestic silkworm)
Lineage: Eukaryota; Metazoa; Arthropoda; Insecta; Lepidoptera; Bombycidae
Description: ovarian small RNA-19979
Source: RNAcentral
UACAAAACCUACUCAGCAAGGGAUCGU